Molecule: non-coding RNA, 2814 nt
Organism: Cyanothece sp. PCC 7425
Lineage: Bacteria; Bacillati; Cyanobacteriota; Cyanophyceae; Gomontiellales; Cyanothecaceae
Source: Rfam
GGUCAAGCUACAAAGGGCUUAUGGUGGAUACCUAGGCACACAGAGGCGAAGAAGGACGCGGUUACCGGCGAAACGCUUCGGGGAGCUGGAAGCGAGCAUUGAUCCGAAGAUAUCCGAAUGGGGCAACCCCAAGUACUCUCUGCUGAAUCCAUAGGCAGAGAAGAGCGAACCUGGCGAAUUGAAACAUCUUAGUAGCCGGAGGAAGAGAAAGAAAACUCGAUUCCCUUAGUAGCGGCGAGCGAAGCGGGAAGAGCCUAAACCGACGGUUUUUACUGUCGGGGUUGUGGGACAGCAACGUGGAUUGUAGAGAUUAGACGAAGCAUUGGAAUGAUGCACCAGAGAAGGUGAAAGUCCUGUAGUCGACAGUCAAAACAACCUAGCUGGAUCCCGAGUAGUUCGGGGCACGUGGAAUCCCGGAUGAAUCAGCGAGGACCACCUCGUAAGGCUAAAUACUCCUGUGUGACCGAUAGUGAACCAGUACCGCGAGGGAAAGGUGAAAAGAACCCCGAGAGGGGAGUGAAAUAGAACAUGAAACCAUAAGCUUACAAGCAAUCGAAGCACGAUUUAACGUGUGACGGUGUGCCUGUUGAAGAAUGAGCCGGCGACUUAUAGGGUGUGGCAGGUUAAGACGGGAAUGUCGAAGCCAAAGCGAAAGCGAGUCCUAACUGGGCGUUAGUCACACUUUAUAGACCCGAACCCGGGUGAUCUAACCAUGGCCAGGAUGAAGCUUGGGUAACACCAAGUGGAGGUCCGAACCGACCGAUGUUGAAAAAUCGGCGGAUGAGCUGUGGUUAGGGGUGAAAUGCCAAUCGAACCCGGAGCUAGCUGGUUCUCCCCGAAAUAUGUUGAGGCAUAGCGGUUGAGGUUAUAUCCAGGGGGUAAAGCACUGUUUCGGUGCGGGCUGCGAGAGCGGUACCAAAUCGAGACAAACUCUGAAUACCUGGUGCAUACUCAGCCAGUCAGACGGUGGGGGAUAAGCUUCAUCGUCAAGAGGGAAACAGCCCAGACCACCAGCUAAGGUCCCCAAAUCACGACUAAGUGAUAAAGGAGGUGGGAGUGCAUAGACAACCAGGAGGUUUGCCUAGAAGCAGCCAUCCUUAAAAGAGUGCGUAAUAGCUCACUGGUCAAGUGCUCCUGCGCCGAAAAUGAACGGGGCUAAGUCGUGUACCGAAGCUGUGGGAUUUGUAUAAAUCGGUAGGGGAGCGUUCCGCGUUAGGUUGAAGUAUCAGCGAGAGCAGGUAUGGACGAAGCGGAAGUGAGAAUGUCGGCUUGAGUAGCGCAAACAUUGGUGAGAAUCCAAUGCCCCGAAAAUCCAAGGUUUCCUCCGCAAGGCUCGUCCACGGAGGGUUAGCCGGGACCUAAGGCGAGGCCGAGAGGCGUAGUCGAUGGACACAGGGUUAAUAUUCCCUGGCUGUUGAGUGGGAGCAUGGUGGGGACGCAUGAAAGCUAGCCAUACCCUGAUUGGAUUGGGAGGAGUCUACGGACUCCGUUUGGUGAAGGAUAGUGCCAAGAAAAGCCAACCAUGUGUUGAAAACUCAAUACCCGUACCCGAAACCGACACAGGUGGAUGGGUUGAGAAUACCAAGGGGCGCGAGAUAACUCUCUCUAAGGAACUCGGCAAAAUGGCCCCGUAACUUCGGGAGAAGGGGUGCCACCGAGAGGUGGUCGCAGUGAAGAGAUCCAGGCGACUGUUUACCAAAAACACAGGUCUCUGCAAAGUCGUAAGACGACGUAUAGGGGCUGACGCCUGCCCAGUGCCGGAAGGUUAAGGAAGUUGGUUAGGGUAACCGAAGCUAGCGACCGAAGCCCCGGUGAACGGCGGCCGUAACUAUAACGGUCCUAAGGUAGCGAAAUUCCUUGUCGGGUAAGUUCCGACCCGCACGAAAGGCGUAACGAUCUGGAUGCUGUCUCGGAGAGAGGCUCGGCGAAAUAGGAGUGUCUGUGAAGAUACGGACUACCUGCACCUGGACAGAAAGACCCUAUGAAGCUUUACUGUAGCCUGGAAUUGGGUUCGGGCUUCGCUUGCGCAGGAUAGGUGGGAGGCUUUGAAGUAUUCCUUGUGGGGGAUAUGGAGCCAUCGGUGAGAUACCACUCUGGCGAGGCUAGAAUUCUAACCCUUACCCGUGAGCCGGGAAGGGAACAGUUUCAGGUGGGCAGUUUGACUGGGGCGGUCGCCUCCUAAAUGGUAACGGAGGCGCGCAAAGGUUCCCUCAGGCUGGUCGGAAAUCAGCCAAAGAGUGUAAAGGCAUAAGGGAGCUUGACUGCGAGACCUACAAGUCGAGCAGGGACGAAAGUCGGCCUUAGUGAUCCGACGGCACUGUGUGGAAGGGCCGUCGCUCAACGGAUAAAAGUUACUCUAGGGAUAACAGGCUGAUCUCCCCCAAGAGUUCACAUCGACGGGGAGGUUUGGCACCUCGAUGUCGGCUCAUCGCAACCUGGGGCGGUAGUACGUCCCAAGGGUUGGGCUGUUCGCCCAUUAAAGCGGUACGUGAGCUGGGUUCAGAACGUCGUGAGACAGUUCGGUCCAUAUCCGGUGCAGGCGCAAGAGUAUUGAGAGGAGCCUUCCUUAGUACGAGAGGACCGGGAAGGACGCACCGCUGGUGUACCUGUUAUCGUGCCAACGGUAAACGCAGGGUAGCCAUGUGCGGAGUGGAUAACCGCUGAAAGCAUCUAAGUGGGAAGCCCACCUCAAGAUGAGUACUCUCACAGCAGAAGCUGGUAAGGUCACCCGUAGACGACGGGUUAAUAGGUGGUAGAUGGAAGUCUAGUAAUGGAUGAAGUCGAGCCGUACUAAUAGACCGAGGGCUUGACCUC